This 6572-nucleotide long non-coding RNA is filed under the name Sus scrofa (pig). RNAcentral's name for it is "lncRNA (ENSSSCG00035067490.1)". The record is from RNAcentral. Lineage: Eukaryota; Metazoa; Chordata; Mammalia; Artiodactyla; Suidae.
UUUUUAUUUUUAUUUUUUUUUUUAGUUCCCAGCCUAGGGGAUGAAUCAGAGCUGCAGCUGCCGGCCCACACUACAGCCACAGCAAUGCUGGAUCCUUAACCCACUGAGUGAGGCCAGGGAUCAGGAUCAAACCCACAUCUUGAUAGACACUAUGUCGAGUUCUUAACCCACUAAGCUACAAUGGGAACGCCUCCAAAUUCAGUGUUUAAAAGAAAAUAUUUUUAAUAACUCCAGCUAAGUUGAUCAGUGGUCAAUCAAGGAACACUGAGAUUCUGGAGGAGAAAAGCGUCCUCUCACUAAAUGAAUAUCCUGCAAGUCUAGGUGAAAUAGGAAAACUGACUUUUUUCACACAGCCAGCACUGUGCAUGGAGUGCAAGAUUAUAGUUGAUGAAUCAGCCAAGCUAUUUUUAAUGUGAACAAUGGCUUUUUCAAAAGUUUCAAGUUGCUUUAAUAAAGUUUUAAGAUAACAAUAUCAUAAUUAAUGGUUAGUGAAACACAAGUUAGCGAGAUAAAAAAUUUAACAAAGAGGAAUGUUUGAAACUGUAGGUUUUCUCCAAAUAUUACUACCUAUUAUGGUACAAUUUAUUGAUCUCAUUGAGAUUCUUUGUAUUCAUUUCUCCUGGCUACAUAACACCCUGCAAAGAGGGCACAGUGAUGUUGGCCUUUCAAAGAAGAAAUCGAAUUUGAGAAAGGUUGAAUAACUUCUUACUAAGAUUAGUUCUUCUACACUCUCUAUAUGGAGCAGGUUGGCAUAAUCAAAUCCUACACAAAUUUAAUUUUAAAGUGAUGCUCACACGAGGUACUAGGUCCAUCUAACAAGAUACGUACAAGAUCUAUAUGAGGAAAGCUAAAAAAUUCUGAUGGGUGAAACCAAAGAAGAACUAAAUAAAUGGAGAGAUAGUCCAUGUCCAUGAAUAAGAAGAUCCAAUAUCGUCAAGAUAUCAGUGCUUCCCAAAUCGAUCUAUAGAUUCCAUGCAAUCCCAACCAAAAUUCCAGCAAGUUAUUUCAUGGUUAUUGACAACCGGAUUCUAAAGAUUAUAUAGAGAAGCAAAAGACUCAACACAGAGUCUAUUGAAGAAGAACAAAUUUGGAGAACUAACACUGCCUGACUUCAAGACUUACAGUAAAACUAGAGUAAUUAAGACAGUGUGGUAUUGGUGAAAUAAUCAACAAAUCAAUCAAUGGAAGAGAAUAGAGAGCUCAGAAAUAGACCCACAUAAAAACCAUCAACUGAAGUAAAGGCAGCACGAUGGAGCAAAAGUAUUCUUUUACAUAAAUGGUAGUUACAACACCUGGAAAUUCAUAUGCAAACAGAGAAACCUAGACAGAGAUCUUAUAUCCCUCACAAAAAUUAACUCAAAAGGGAUGACAGAUCUAAAUGUAAAAUGCAAAAAUGUAGAACUUCUAGAAGAUAACACAGGAAGGAACCUCGGUGACUUGCAGUCUGAGGCUGGUGUUCAGGUGCAACGCCAAAGACAUGAGCCAUGAAGGAAAUAAUUGACAGGCGGGACUGCACUAAAACGAAAACAUCUGCUUUAUGAACGACAACGUAAAGAUUAUGAGAAGACAAGCUGCAGACUGUGAGGAAAUAGUCACAAAACACAUAUCUGAUAAAGGACUUUUUCCAAGAUCUACAAAGAACACUUAAAUCUCAACAUUAAUAAAACAAACAACCUAAUUUUAAAAUAGGCGAAAGAACUGAACAGAGAACUCGCCAGGGAAGAUAUUCAGAUUGAAAAUUAGCACAUGAAAACAUGUUAAUAUCAUGUCAUUAGGAAAAUGCAAAUUAAAGCAACAAGGAGAUGAUAAGUGUGUCACUACACAUCGAUUAGAAUGGCCAGGAGUUCCCAUUGUGGCUCAGGGAAAACGAACCCAACUAGUAUCCACGAGGAUGCGGGUUUGAUCCCUGGCCUUGCUCAUGGGAUUCGUUAGCCACUGCGUCACGACGGGAACUCCCUGAGUAAUUUUUGCAAUAAAGCCAGCUGCCCCAAAAUGUCUAUAAACAUAUUCAUAUGAAACACAAGUAUUUAGCCACAUCUAACAAAACUACAGUGAGAUAAUGUGAAAAGGAAUUUCUUGUUCCACUUUAGUUAGCUGAACUUUAGUUAGUAACCUAGAUGGUACCAGAGAGGCCCCUGUAAUAUCCAUUCUCUGGAUUAGUGCUUUGUUUAUAUUUAUUCUGCUCACCUAGGUCCACUCCCCCUCAGGACAGGCCUGGGUCCUGUGACAGCAUAGCAGAAACAGCUUGCCAAGUGCAAGGCACAGAGUAGAGGUUCGAUAAAUUGUUGAACAAAUCAAUCAAGGUAGCAUUGGAAAUUAAUUGUUUUAGAGCUUGGCUGUCUCAUCCAGCCUCACCCACUGGGGAAUAUGUGAGCCCUCCAGAAUAACUUUUUGUCCAUUAGCUUUCCCAUCACUCCUCUACGGAGGAGGAUUUUUGCUUUGAAUGAGUUCGCGGUAAGUCUGUUCAAACCACAAAGCAGACCUGGAAUGAAGACAAGCCUUCCUUUCCCAUUGCAAAAACCGAAAACAAAACUAAAAACCUGGGGAAGGCUACUGCCGUGCUUCCUAACUUGUUCUAAAAUAUAAAUCAGUAACUCAGUUUCACGCCUUCUCAGUGCAGUAUUAGCAUGACACAAACUAUCAUAAACUCAAUGGAAAGACCUGGAAGAGAGCCUGGCAGAUAGUAAGUGCCCAAUAAAUACUUGGUGAAGGAGUGAGUGGUGUUGCGGAUUUAGACAGCUUGAUUUAUGAUCUGUCUUCCAAACUCAGAGCAAAUUUCCCUGUCCUCUCUCUGGUUUGAAAAUGUAAAUCACUGAUGGAUAGAAGGAAUGAAAUGGUCGGGAAUUGGCUGUGAUGGAGCAGGUGGUUGCUCACAGUUAAUGCUAUUCAGCAAAUAAACUCUCGAGUGACUGCCACCUGCUUGAUCAGUUUCCAGAAUUGAAAAGAAGGACACAGAGCAGAAGCAACUAAUUUUGGACUCAGAAGCUUUAGAUUCCAAGGGUAGAUCAUGAGCCGGACUCCUGACCUGGGCUGGUGGUGCUUCACUGACAGUGAAUUAGCCUCUCCCAAUUCCGCCCUCACAUCCAGCCUCCCUGCCUGCUUCUCCUCAGCAAGCUCACUCCUUUCCUUUGCCCCCUUCAGAACAACAGUGAAAAAACAUUAUCUUGACAGCCUAGAGAAAAAAUGGAAACCACUUCAAUGAUGAAGCAUUUAACAUUUUAAUUACUGAUAAUUAUGAUACUGCAGAACAUAGAAGAUGGCAUUAUUUAAAUGUAGAAGACAAGGUUAAAUUAUGCUAAUGUGUUCUAGCUUGUCUAUAAUAAUUUUUUGACAGAGUAUAAAGAUUAGAAUCAGCCGCUGACUUGAGUGAGUUGCUGGAUUGUCUCUUGGCCUUGUGACUAGAAGUGAUGACAUUCCAGGGCUGAAGGGUAGGAGGCAGGGUGAGGAAAUCGCGGGCCGUGCGGCGAGAUGACCUCAGAAAAGUCAACUUUGAGCAUGAACAAAUCAGACAGUGUUUUCUGUUUGAAGUGUCUGAAUUGUGCAACAACUUUCCCUUUUAAUCUCGUACUUCCAAACUUCAAUAUUUACACUUAAAUGACAUGUAGGCGUCCCAAUAUGUCCUGAUUCACCGAUGGUGAUUUUUUACCGCUAGCUAAAAAUUUCUUGCUGUUUAAAAGUCCCAUGGGUUUUAAGUUUAGAAAUACCUGGAUCAAACCUAUGUUUCUGCUAUUUAAGAGCCUUGGGAUCCUAGAAAGUUAUGUAAUCUCCUAGUGACUGAAAUCCUUCCUAAUAGGAUUGUUGAGAAGACAGAGAGGGUGCCUGGCACAUGAGAGGUGUUUGGAAAUCAUAGCCAUCUUCUCCUAUGACAAAUCAUGUUCAGCAAAAUUUAAUUUUUGAUAGUUAUUCAAUCUUCAAAAAGUUUGAGUCCUUCCCUGGAGGAUGACAGAUUUGGUCAAAUCAAAAGAGAAAAAUUGCUUGCAAAAAAAAAAAAAUCAUCACAAAAUAUCAGGCAGCAUGACCAAAUUAUUAACGAGCUUUUUGAUUGGGGUGAUAUGGGUUUGAGAAGUUCUUGCUUUGGGCAAAAUGAUGUAAUUAUUAUAUCAUUCAUAUGUACAAGCAUUAAGAAUACACUUUCCUUGCAACCUAUGUUUAUCGCAUCCUCGGUCUUCUUGUCUGGAUCUUCCAAGGGCUUAUUCAUCUUAUUUAGCAAAAUACCUCUGAUCCUGAUGUUGCACAAGUGACUCCACCUGAGUCCUCACCUCAGAACAAAGAAUGUACCAUUCAUUGUGUUUGCAGAUAGCAACCUGGCUCGAGGACCCUUCUUAGCAGGUCACCAUCACAAAGGGCUUGGUGCCAGCUUCAUAUUUCUUGGGUGGAAUUUUUCAGCAGCUUUUUGUCUUGAUUUUUUCAGGGCCAUCUCUUGUCUUUUAUUUCUUGAAAAAAGUUGAUUUUCAUUUCAUUCUCACCCACUGAAUUUUUUGAACCAUUGCGUUCACUUGGUGUAAACUACUUAUCUUAAAUCUAUUGAAUCACGGAGGUGCUGACUGCAUUAUUUAGACAUUUCUUUAAAUUCGCCCCUCCGUGGAUGCUCUCAAAACAAUGAAGUAUCUGGGCUGGUCUGUCAGACUCAUGGCAAUGUGAGAGCCAUGUAUGAGGAAAGAAAUCUAUGGACACCUGGGCCAAUCAUGUUUUUAUGCUGCAACGUGGCUCGUUAUGAAGAGAAAGUCCCACCAUCCCUGCUCUCGGCUGUUCAUGUCACUGCCACAGGUGCACAGUGAUGCAUCAAGAAGGUGUCCCCCAUGUGCUGCGUCACAUGCACGUGCUUGUAACAAACUAAAACUCCUCUUGGGUUCUGCCCUAACACUGAUUAGCGUUGACGGUACACUAUGCGUUACUUGCUCUGGUUUGUACUGGUUUGCUUGUCCCCCCCAGGCUAAGAGGGCUGGAGAGCAGGCUUGGUCUCCUGUGUUUAAGCUGCACCACUCAAAUCCCACAAGUUCAUGGAGCAGGGCUCAGUGCUUACCUUUGAGUGACCGAGUCAUCUAACCAGAAGCAGAAGCUUCUCAAGUUUCUGACAUUUUAGGAAGGGGGAGGGGCCAGAUGGAGAACACAGCUCUCUUGAUGGGACUGAGUGAAGCAGCAUCCGGGAGGAUGGCUGAACAGCCUUCUUCACUCUCCUGUUCUGCUCACAUUCCCACAGCUCCACACACCCCGAGCCUGACCACUGGGGAGGCCUGGCUGGUUUGUGGCUGACUUAGGGCAACUCUGGUUGCCAGUCAUCAUCUCAGGACUAUCAGGGCAGGUAGCAGGACCAUGUCCCUGUGUCCAUCUGCCCCAACAGUGUGGCUGCUAGUGAUGGAGAAGGCACCUAGCACAGGCCCUGAGGGCCAGCAGGUGUCAAGCCCCUUCUUGUUCACCUGAAGGCAGGUUGAGCCUUUGGAGUCACUGGCUUGAGGUGGCUCCACCAGGAGGUGGGAGACCUGUGACACCACCCCCGGGGGAACUACCAUCAGUGUGGGAACUGAUGAGGAUGGCCAGUGAGGAGAUGGAUCUAUGGUAAGCGAGUGGCCCUUUCUCCUUUCUCAGAGUGCCAUGGUUCUUAGUGACACAAGGAGGAUGAGUGACGUGAGGGCGCAAGCCACUGCAGCAGCCAUAGCAGUGGGCCUCAAGCUGUGUGGUCCCCAAACCCCAAUUUAGGUCAACUGAGAAGAGUCCAGUGGCACUGCAGUUCCCUGACAUUUGAGGAAGGAAAACCCGAGGCCAGGGACUUUGGAGCCCACCCCACUCCAUGCAGUCUAAAGAGUCCAGCUGGCUCCUCAGGCCAUUGGGGUGGCCACAGAGUCAGAAGCAGCAAAUGCAAACCACUGGAAAGCUGGCCUGAGGCCCACAGGGAAAACAGCAAGACCCUGGACCGCCUCCGUCUCCUUCCUGCCGGUUGGCUGGCCUCCAGGGCUCUCAGUGAGUACCUUUGGCCUGUGGCCCCUGUGCCUGGGCAGCCCCCAUGCAGGUGUCUGCUCUCCAGGGGAUGCCAAAGAAGUGGCUGCACUUGAGUCUGGGGGUCUCUCCAUCCACCGCGGUGGAAAACUCACCUUCCAAUCACCCAGACCCAGGUUAAACCUCAAACCCAAAGUAACAGCAGCAUCGGCCACUCCCAGCUCUCUUUUUAUCACUCCUCAUCUGUCUUCACAGUUUUCUCAUGAGGACCAGGCUUAAAAAUUAAUAUUUUCUCCCAGAAAUUCUAAAAUAUUAUAGUCAUACUUUUAAUCAAAAUACAGUUUCAAAAGAAAAAGAAUUUUCAGGCUUCUUAGAAAUGAACCCCAUACACCUAAGCUCCAACUCCCUAUUGUCACAAAAUUUCAAAAGGAUGGUUUUCCUUUGUGUCAGCCUUUGAAAUUUCCUGUUUUCCUCCCAGUGUUUUUCUGAAAUUGGAUUUCUUUAUUCACAGAGCUCAUUCGCCUUUGCUUUCUGAUUUCCUCCAAAACAAACCUACUGUGGACCCCCAGGUACUGAGCACAGAACUGCACGCAGGUGCGCGACUUUUGGUGUUCCUUCGUCCCUUUGUCCAGGGCCCC